Molecule: small nucleolar RNA, 142 nt
Organism: Zalophus californianus (California sea lion)
Lineage: Eukaryota; Metazoa; Chordata; Mammalia; Carnivora; Otariidae
Product: small nucleolar RNA SNORA48
Source: Ensembl
ACCCCCUGGCAAUGGGCAGAGAGACCCCUUGGUGGUGGUGCUCUUGUAUCAGCCAGGGGCAAAGCAGACGGACAGUCCUUUGUUCAUCCUAGCUUGAUGCCUGGAUUGGUGGCCAGAGCUGUUUCAUGCCUGGGGCACACAA